This is a long non-coding RNA of Aegilops tauschii subsp. strangulata, 690 nucleotides long. RefSeq lists it as uncharacterized. The record is from RefSeq and is a predicted model, not a curated record. Lineage: Eukaryota; Viridiplantae; Streptophyta; Magnoliopsida; Poales; Poaceae.
CCAAAUCCCCACCCCGGCCUGCAAUUCAUUCCAAUCGCCCGUGCGCCGCCCCAAAUCGCCAUCGCUGCCCCCAAAUCGCCCGAGGCCGCCGGUCGGAGCCCACCGGUCGGUCUCCUCCGCCACCACAUCUUCUCGCCGUCGCACCGUUCCUCACCUCACCACCGCCGCGCCGUUCUUCUCCUCCUCUUGUGCUCGCUGCCACCUAGGGUUUCGGUGGUGCUCGCCUCGCUGUCGCGUCGUUCUUUCCCCUCAAUUGCCGUGCCUUUCUUCUCCUUUGGAUUGUCGUGUUGCUACUCUCCUUCUCCCCUGGUCGUCGGCGGCUAGGGUUUCGGGGGUGCUUGCCUCCCUUCGUCGUCACAUCGUUGCUCCUCUUCCCACCGCGUCGUUCCUCUCCAAGCCGUGUCGACCACCACCGCCGUUGGCUUCCAAAGUUGUUCUUCCUUGAGCUCCUCUGUCGUGUGGGUUCUGAUCAUCGCUGAGCUCCUCUGCCGUUCCACUGCUCUUCUCUGCGUCGGCUGGUGCCUCAUGUGGAUUUUAUGGCUUAAGCCAAGAGGAGAAAGAAAGGGCUCUGCAUAUGAAAAGAUACCAACAUUAUUGUUUCCAUGAAAUUGGUUGGAAGAAAAGAAGAAGAUCCAGAGAAGAUCUUAGUAAUAAGAUAGUUUUUAGGAAAAUAGAUAUUUAGUUUUAGGU